UCAGCUCCUGAUUCUGCAGAAAACACGAAACUGAGCUGUACAAAGAUGCUGAUGAGGGGCUGCAGCAUGCAAUUCACUUCACCAGCAGUCACUAAGGUCUGAUCUCUUUUCUAACCAUACCUGGAAGAUGGAAUGCUGGACCCAGGGUAUGCAUAGAAAAUGGGAGUUAUUAGAAAAGCAGCUUUGCUUGCUUUAACCCAGGAAUUGUAUUUCUGACUAGACUUGGACUAGAACUUUCACCAUUGGCUUACCUGGUUCUCAGACUUUUAGACUUGGACUGGGACUACACCAUCAACUUUCCUUGGUCUCCAGCUUGCAGACAACAGAUUAUGGGACUUGCCAGUCUCCAUAAUCAGAAGGCUUUGACAUAUCAAUGCACCAGGGAUCUUACCAAACUAAAUUUUAAGCACUUAUAGCUCAAGAUUCUCCCUCUGAGAUGAAACAUACUUCCACCCUGUCAUGUGUCAGCUUCAGAAGAUAUCAAUUGCUCAAGAAAGUGUUGGACAAGCAGAAAAGCACACUGAACAUUUCUGGACUUGUGAAAGAGCUCUGAAUAUGGAUCUCUCAGGGAUAUUCCAUCCCCACCAAUGCUUUACCAAUGCGAGAGCUGGCCAGGCUGAGACAUUUAAUGAUAACAUGGAACAAUUUAUUCAGGAAGAUAGUCAACUACUCAUGUGGCUUUAUGAUUAUAAAACCCACUGAAAAUUGGGUCCCUUGAUUCUCUUGAUUUUUCCUAAGCCUUACUCCCUAAAGUCUCCAAUUUGAUGAGGUAUUUGAUACUUGAUCUCUCCUUGAAGUAAAAUUUGGAGCAAAAUAUAUUGGACUGGAAGGCCUGAGACCUCGAUAAGAAGAAACAUGAACCCCAGAGCCACAGGUCAGGAGGUUUUCAUUAUAAUACUAUUGCCCUCUUAAAACAAAUACUCCAAUUGCCAAGGUUUCCUCACUUAAUAAUUUAUCUCAUAUGUGUUUUUGAAAGUUACUCUGAAUACUUCUUAUAUGUAUAAAUAAGUUAGUUAACAGUAAUUAAUGCAGAUAUUUAAAUAAAUACAAGCAGGCAGGUGGGAUGAUGACUACAGUCACUUGAUAAAGAACAGCUAGGUGGCCGGGCGCGGUGGCUCACACCUGUAAUCCCAGCAUUUUGGGAGGCUGAGGCGGGUGGAUCAUGAGGUCAAGAGUUCGAGACUAGCCUGGCCAACAUGAUGAAACCCCGCCUGUACUAAAAACACAAAAAUUAGCCGGGCGUGGUGGCAGGCGCCUGUAAUCCCAGCUACUCGGGAAGCCGAGGCAGAAUUGCUUGAAACCGGAAGGCGGAGGUUGCAGUGAGCCAAGAUCGGGCCACUACACUCCAGCCUGGGCGAAAGAGCAAAACUCCGUCUCAAAAAAAAAAAA
Molecule: long non-coding RNA, 1389 nt
Filed under: Homo sapiens (human)
Lineage: Eukaryota; Metazoa; Chordata; Mammalia; Primates; Hominidae
Description: HSALNT0359176
Source: RNAcentral